This 245-nucleotide ribosomal RNA is filed under the name uncultured bacterium. Its description in RNAcentral is "partial small subunit ribosomal RNA". It matches the Rfam family "Bacterial small subunit ribosomal RNA", at positions 26 to 285 of the family's 1533-position model. The record is from RNAcentral.
AGAAUCAACGCUGGCGGCGUGCCUAACACAUGCAAGUCGAACGAGAAAGUGGAGCAAUCCACAAGUAAAGUGGCGCACGGGUGAGUAACACGUGACUAACCUACCCUUGAGUGGGGGAUAACCUAGAGAAAUCUGGGCUAAUACCGCAUAAUACCUUCGGGUCAAAGGAGCAAUUCGCUUAAGGAGGGGGUCGCGGCCGAUUAGUUAGUUGGCGGGGUAAUGGCCCACCAAGACGAUGAUCGGUA